This 48-nucleotide non-coding RNA is filed under the name Trichobilharzia regenti. The record is from RNAcentral. Lineage: Eukaryota; Metazoa; Platyhelminthes; Trematoda; Strigeidida; Schistosomatidae.
GUCCAGCUGACGAGUCCCUAAUAGGACUAAAUGCGAGUUGUCCUGGAU